Long non-coding RNA from Corythoichthys intestinalis (scribbled pipefish), 1856 nucleotides. RefSeq lists it as uncharacterized. The transcript is spliced from 5 exons. Lineage: Eukaryota; Metazoa; Chordata; Actinopteri; Syngnathiformes; Syngnathidae. The record is from RefSeq and is a predicted model, not a curated record.
UGUCAUGAACCACAAACCGUUUACGUGGAUCUCAAUGAGACUGGAUACAGCGAAUAGGUUUGUAUUGAAUAAAAAGUACCAUAAGGGAAGCAGGCCAAACAGUUAGCAAAUUUAACAAAGUCCAAUAGAAAAUAAGAGCACAAAAAAACAAAAUGAUCAAAGUUGGAGAGCACGAAGAUGAGGGCACAAACAGCGAAAUGCAGCACCCACAGCGGCCUGAUGUGGAAUAGUUUGGGAACCCCUGUGCUAAGGUUGUGAACUUGUGAUUAAGGUGGGUGGCAGCAGGAACUGAAGAACUGUUUUACUCAACCAGUUGCUCCAUCGAUGUACUAGCACUGAGCCACUGAGAAUCUCCAACGCUCAUCAUGGAGGCCAUCAUUCCACGAAGCGGCGGCCGACUGUUUUGGCUGCCAGCUAAAAGGCUGCCCUCCACAACGGCCUUGAACUGGACUGAUGAAGGAAUCUCAUGGGAGAGCAAGAAACAACCGCAAAGAUUGUUCAUUCAUUUAAGGGGCAUUCAUUUUCUACACUGUGGUCAUUUAUUUCAUCUGCUGUUUCUGACUGUGUAUCAUAUUGCCUCUGCAAAGCUCUUUGAGACAACCUUGUGAUAUAGGGCUAUACAAAUAAAAUUGAAUUGAUGCGGACAAUGUUUUGACUUACUUGGAAUUGUAUUGUGUUUUAACUGUUGAACUCGAGAUUUCCUUUGUUUUUUUCAUUCAUCAAUUUCAAUACUGCUUGGUGUAUUAGGACACAUUGUUUGAAAAUCGUAAUUUUUUUUUGGUUCCAAAUCUGAAUUUCAAAAUUUACAUUUCUUAUCCCGAACUAGUGUACUUGCUUGAUCUAAAGCACCCUGCGCGCUUAGGCCAUGUCUACACGUAGCAUAAUAUUAGGCAAAAACUUUUUCUACGGUUUGGCCUAUCAUCCCAUCCGCUCGCACAUUUAAACGAGGGUUCUUAAAACCUCCGUCCAAAGUGAAGUUGUGCGAAUUCUGCGUUUGUGGCGCCAUCAUGUGUACACUGAUAACCGACGCUUUCACUGUGAAAACGUCACUGACUGCAACAAACUUUGUCCCCACGUCACACAUGAGACUAAUGUUUACAUUUAGAGUAAAUAAGAAGGUGCUUUUUUUUUUUUUUUUUUUUUGCUUCCAUUUAUUGACAAACUCCUGCAGUGCUUCAUAUUGAAGAACACAUGCGAAGGACGGGGUGGGGGUAUUAUGGACAAUUGUUUUUCGUACAUUGUUAUCAAUGUACUUAAAAACGAAUAAACGCAGUUGGCAGUGGAAGCUUUUUUCCACCCACAAGCGUGCUGGUGUGGACGUAAUUAGUUUUUUUUAACGUAUCAGGGCAGGAUCCUUGGUUUUAAAAAAAAAAACCCUACUAGGUGUAGACAUGGCCUUAAUUUAGCGUCCUGCUUGUUCCAAGAACAAGAACCAAGCAGGGUGAGGCAACAUUAAUUACUAUGCUCCUCACCUCUGGAACAAGUUACUUGAAGGUCUGAAGUGUGCUCAAACUGUUAGCUCCUUUAAAUCAGGGCUUAAACGCAAUUGUUUACCAUAGCAUUUCCUUCAGUGUAUACAGUAUUUCAGAUUUCAGGUUAUUUGCUUUUUAUUCCUUUUUUAUUUUUGUUUAAUUUCCAUUUCCGAACUUGAUUAUUUUUUAAUUUUCUUGGUUAUUUAAUGUGAUUUUUAUGUAUAAUUGUAUUUCCUGUUUCAAUUGUCUUUGUUUUUAACUUUGUUUUUUAUUUAAUGUGAUUUUUACAAAUCAUUUCAUCUCUGUGGAUCUUCACGUGACAUAAAGCACUUUGAAAGAACUUGUGUUGAUUUGUACUAUUCAAAUAAAUUUGCCUUGCCUUGA